GAAGGAUGUGCGAGAUACAUGUUGCAAUACAAGCAGGUCAAUUGUAUCAAGAGGCACCAAUCUCAACAGUUUUUCGAAUGACUCACCAACAUCCCAGCAUUUUCUCCACAUUUUGGAUAAGAUAUGAAGAAAAGGUUGUCUUCAACUACAUGAGUAUUGUUGCGGCCUUUCUCCGAUCAAGGUACUCGAUCCGAAGUCGACUAACUAUUGCACAUGAAUAUGGGCCGGUGGGAUGUCGAAAGAUGGAGUGCCAUCAUUGGAGAAAGUACACACAG
RNAcentral lists this long non-coding RNA (275 nucleotides) under Elaeis guineensis (African oil palm). Its description in RNAcentral is "long non-coding RNA (EGUI_LNC013622)". The record is from RNAcentral. Lineage: Eukaryota; Viridiplantae; Streptophyta; Magnoliopsida; Arecales; Arecaceae.